This 73-nucleotide transfer RNA is filed under the name Stegodyphus mimosarum. It matches the Rfam family "tRNA". From Rfam's summary of the family: Transfer RNA (tRNA) molecules are approximately 80 nucleotides in length. The record is from Rfam by way of RNAcentral. Lineage: Eukaryota; Metazoa; Arthropoda; Arachnida; Araneae; Eresidae.
GCCUUCGUGGUGUAAUGGUAAGCACACUCGACUCGUAUUCAAGAGGUCCGAGUUUCGAGUCCUGGUGUCGGCA